GAAAUGCGAUAAGUAAUGUGAAUUGCAGAAUUCAGUGAAUCAUCGAAUCUUUGAACGCACAUUGCGCCCCCUGGUAUUCCGGGGGGCAUGCCUGUUCGAGCGUCAUUUCACCACUCAAGCCUCGCUUGGUAUUGGGCGACGCGGUCCGCCGCGCGCCUCAAAUCGACCGGCUGGGUCUUCCGUCCCCUCAGCGUUGUGGAAACUAUUCGCUAAAGGGUGCCGCGGGAGGUCACGCCGCAAAACAACCCCAUUUCUAAGGUUGACCUCGGAUCAGGUAGGGAUACCCGCUAAACUUAGGC
This 299-nucleotide unclassified non-coding RNA is filed under the name plant metagenome. Its description in RNAcentral is "partial contains 5.8S ribosomal RNA, internal transcribed spacer 2, and large subunit ribosomal RNA". The stretch from base 1 to 105 matches the Rfam family "5.8S ribosomal RNA", at positions 50 to 154 of the family's 154-position model. The record is from RNAcentral.